AACGAACGCUGGCGGCAGGCUUAACACAUGCAAGUCGAGCGCCCCGCAAGGGGAGCGGCAGACGGGUGAGUAACGCGUGGGAACGUACCCUUUUCUACGGAAUAACCCAGGGAAACUUGGACUAAUACCGUAUACGCCCUUCGGGGGAAAGAUUUAUCGGAGAAGGAUCGGCCCGCGUUGGAUUAGCUAGUUGGUGGGGUAAAGGCCUACCAAGGCGACGAUCCAUAGCUGGUCUGAGAGGAUGAUCAGCCACAUUGGGACUGAGACACGGCCCAAACUCCUACGGGAGGCAGCAGUGGGGAAUAUUGGACAAUGGGCGCAAGCCUGAUCCAGCCAUGCCGCGUGAGUGAUGAAGGCCUUAGGGUUGUAAAGCUCUUUCACCGGGGAAGAUAAUGACGGUACCCGGAGAAGAAGCCCCGGCUAACUUCGUGCCAGCAGCCGCGGUAA
Molecule: ribosomal RNA, 447 nt
Filed under: uncultured bacterium
Lineage: Bacteria
Description: partial 16S ribosomal RNA
Rfam family: Bacterial small subunit ribosomal RNA
Source: RNAcentral